This 70-nucleotide transfer RNA is filed under the name Dipodomys ordii (Ord's kangaroo rat). It matches the Rfam family "tRNA". From Rfam's summary of the family: Transfer RNA (tRNA) molecules are approximately 80 nucleotides in length. Their secondary structure includes four short double-helical elements and three loops (D, anti-codon, and T loops). Lineage: Eukaryota; Metazoa; Chordata; Mammalia; Rodentia; Heteromyidae. The record is from Rfam by way of RNAcentral.
GGGAAUGUGGCUUAGUGGUACAGUGCUUGCCUAACAUGCAUGAAGCCCUGGGUUCGAUUCCUCAGUACCA